Mangifera indica (mango) is the source of this 2005-nucleotide RNA transcript. It is a transcript of the gene named vacuolar-sorting protein BRO1-like, with no coding region annotated. NCBI's taxonomy places the organism in Eukaryota, Viridiplantae, Streptophyta, Magnoliopsida, Sapindales, Anacardiaceae. The record is from RefSeq and is a predicted model, not a curated record. The transcript has 4 exons.
UGAAAAGUCGAAGGAAAGAAGGGUGGCUUCUGCAGAUGAUGUGUGCCUCUCUCUAAAGUUUUCGUUUCUCUGACUAAAAGGGGUUCUAGGGCUUUCAUUUGCUGCUUCAAUCCGGCAUGAUUUUAACGGCAAUGAUGCGUUUGUCGAGGCAGUUAUUAACGAGGAGAUCAACGGUGAGCUUUGAUGGAGGUAUCGUUUUCAAUUGAUAAUAGGAUGGUUUACAUUACUUUUGCCAGCUGUAGUUAGUUGUAGUUCAGUGUAUAAAAGAUGUAAUUUGUCACAAUUUAUUGUAUGAUUUUUGAGGCUAUUGAAUGAAACUUAAGGUAUUAUUCGUUCUUCUUCUCUCUGUAUUGUCUUGAGUGCUUAUGUUAAUGAUAAUAGUUUUGUUUUUAGGGUUCUUGGUGUUUGAUAGUUAAUUCUGCUUUCUCUGUGAUUCUGAUUGCUUAAAGUAGUUUAAUAGAUUAUCGGAGAAGUUCUUUUUGGUAUAUCUGUUGCUGGAGGUGUUGAAUUAGGUUCUCUAGAUUCUUGAGGACCACGUCAAUAUGACCAUGCUUUUGUGGCACGAUGCAUUUAAGAGCAAGCAAAGGGCCAGUCAGCAGAACAUUCAUCUGGAGAAGGCGGCAGUGUUGUUUAAUUUGGGGGCAGUGUACAGUCAGAUUGGGUUGUCGUUUGAUCAUGCCAACAUGGAGGGGCGGCGGGAGGCAUCACAUGCAUUCAUUGUGGCAGCCGGAGCCUUUCCUUAUUUGAGAGAUAAUGCAUCCACAAAGGCGAGUAUGGGGAGCUCCAUGAUGGUGUAUAUCAGCCUCAUGUGCGCCAGAAUGUUGGAGAGAUUGAUGCUAGCCCAAGCUCAAGGGUGUGUGUUUGAGAAUACGAUUGCUAAAGGGAGUACGCCUGGUGUUUGCACUAAAAUUUCUAGACAAGAAAGGUGAGGGAUAGUGUUGUUGGGUUUUUCUGGUGUGAUUUUGAUGUAAAAGCCAUUUUUUUUAUACUGUCUGUUACUGACAUCUCAGGCGUCAUUCUUGCCGGUAAGUAGUUCUUCUUCCCAAUUUGUUAAUUAUAUGCAAUUCUUACAUAUAUCGUAGUUAUCUGUCUUAAUCUUGCAAAAGUGAUUAAGUUGCUUCAUUCUGAUGUUUUAUCAGCCUGCUGACAUUUAUAAUUGCAGGGCACGUUUUAAUAUGCGUGGAUCCCGAGUCAAGUCAUGCUGUUGUUGGUUGGGCUGCAAAAACCUUUUCAACAGCAGUGUUUUUCAUAUAUGAGCAGAUCCUCCCAGAUGAUGCUUUUGGGCAGCAAAUGAUCAAAUUUUUUUAUUUGUUUGAUGCUGAUGCUUUAUAAAAAUCACAUUUUUUAUUGUUGGUUUCUUAUGUGUACUCUUAUUUUUAUAAUUCUAUUUGAUGCUCCAGAGUGCUGUUGCCUGGGACAUGGUGAAAGUUUAUAGCAAUUUUGUUGAUGCUCAAGAGAGACGCAAGUAUAUGUAUUUGGAAAAUUGUUUGCACCAGUAUGAUUCCAGAGGCAUUGGUGGAAGCCGGGGGUCAGUUGCAGAGCACUUAGGAGGUAGCAGAGAGGGUGCUUUAGGCUGCUUAUCCAAGACAUGUGCUGUUUCAACUUUAGGUUUUGGCUUCUCUUCUAUCUUUUCAGCCAGAGAUGGAUUACAAGCAGCCCUCUCUGGUAUUUUCUCCAAGGGAGCUACAUGAGCUACACCUUCACCAGAUUUUGAAAUGAUAGCAAUUUUGAAACCUGGUUCUACAGUUUCUCCUUUGGCAACAAGCUGCAGGAAAUUAAAACACAGAAACUAGCAGCAUCGUUAAUAAAUCCGAACCACGGGGUUUUCGGGCUUGGUUUCAUUCAUAUCUGGCCUGAGUUUUUAAUAAACCCUUAAAACCAAUUAGGACAGGUUUAUAAGUUUUUUAGUAAGAAAUUCAAAAACCUAUAGUUGAAAAUAUACCUUUGUUUAGUUUUAACAAGAAUAUAAAUAAUCCAAUUAUUUAGGGUAUAGGGUUUAUUUUUA